UUACAUUGUUCUAACUCCCCCGUUUUCUUCUUCAGCUACGGUGUCUCCGAAGUCAAUCCUUGCUUCGUUUCCAGUCGUUUGGCUUCAAAUUUCCUCCAUCCCUCAAAUAUCCUCUCUCUCUGUCGUCUUUCUCUAUCUCUCAUUCACUCCGUUUCCAAUCGUUCGGCUUCUCCGUUUUGCUCCCUUCUCUUCUCAACUCUCUAAACUCACUUUUCUCAAAAACAUCAAACGAAACAGAACCCAAAACAAAAAGAAAAACUGAGAAGAAAAAAAAAACCCUAUCUUUCUCUUUUUUUUUUUCUUCCUCUUUCUCUGUGUAUGAAAAAUCUUUGUAUCUCUCAGAAUUGGUGCAAAAAGUUUUCCGUCUCAGAUCCCAAUAUAUAUACACAUACAUAUAAUAAGGCUGAAUAUCCAUAAAACCCUUAUCUGUUCUUCUCUCUCUCUCUCCUUCGAUUUUUUUUCUUCAAAUUUGAAGAGGGUGUAGUAAUGCAAGAAGCAGGGCUGGGAAUGUUGAGUGGUGUUGGCAACAUGAACAUUAGUUUAGGCGGUGGUCUGAGCGGAGGCAGAGGUGGAGGCGGUGAUGUUUCGAUCUCCGGCGACCAAGAUCGUCACUUGAAGGCGGAGAUCGUGACUCACCCUUUGUAUGAAUGGCUCUUGGCGGCUCACGUGCCUUGUCUCCGUGUGGCUACACUGAUCGAUCAGCUGUCGUUGAUCGACGCACAGCUUUCUCAGUCCCACCACUUGCUCCGCUCUUAGCUUCACUUGCUCAUUCUUCUAACCUUUCCCACCAUGACCGUCAAGACCUCGAUAAUUUUUUGAGCCAUGGAAUGUUGUUCCAUGUGGAUGCUGCAUAUGCUGGAAGUGCUUGUAUAUGUCCAGAAUAUUCCCACUACAUUGAUGGUGUUGAAGAAGCUGACUCAUUUAACAUGAAUGCACACAAAUGGCUUCUGACAAACUUUGAUUUUUCUUCACUCUGGAUCAAGGAUAUAAAUGCUUUGAUUCAGGCCCUGUCUACAAAUCCUGAAUAUUUGAAAAACAAGGUGUAUCUUUUUGUGUACUUAUCUAUAAUGCUUAGAGAUUCAAUAUGGAAAUCAAACCACUUACUUUCAUAAUGAACUUGACAUUUAGGCUUCUGAAGAAAACUUGGUUGUGUAUUACAAGGAUUGGCAAAUACCACUUGGUCGUUAUGGUUUUCAAAGUUCUGAGUCAUUCAUACAGAUUCAAUAGUGUAUCCUUCCAAAGUUUGUGUUUUGAUGAAAAAUUACAUAUUACUAAUAGGUCACUUAAACUAUGGAUGGUGCUACGUCUUUAUGGUUUGGAAAACUUACAGUGCUACAUAAGAAACCACAUCAACUUGGCUAAAUACUUUGAAGACCUUGUUGGUCAAGACCCAAGAUUUGAGAUCACCACGCCUCGAAUCUUUUCUUUGGUUUUUUUUCGGCUGCUGCCAAGCUCCAAGGAUGAGGCUUUGGCCGAAAAAUUGAACCAUGAGUUCUUGAAUGCUGUGAACUCAAUUGGGAAAACUUUCAUUUCUCAUACAGUGUUAUCAGGAAAAUACUUGCUACGAUUUGCAGUAGGAGCUCCAUUGACUGAAGAGAGACAUGUUAAUGGAGCAUGGAAUGUUUUACAAGAAAAAGCCUCUGCCCUGUUGGGAACUUUGUAUUGAUUAUAUACUUUAGGUCGUGGAUCGAAUUGGCAAGGAGUAUUGCAAAGUUAAUUAACUUGAUUAUUAAUUGCAAGAGGUGCGGAAGUAUGUUCUCUUAACUCUUUUAUUAAUAUCAUACAAAUGUUAGAGGAGUUUGAAUAUCUUAAAUAUUCAUUCGUAGAGAAGUAGGUUCUGAGAUUAAAAUUGUGUGCUGCGGUGAUAACGGAAUGUUGAAAACUUGUGUGUCUUAGAGAAGUAGGUUCUGGAAAAUUUGUUUGUGUGUUGCGGUGAUAUAAGGAAGAAACCUUAUUGUGUGCUGUGUGAAUUUUUUUACUUGGUAUCAUAAUAAACUUUUAGUUAAAAUUUAAAAAAACCUCCAUGUUUCACUUAAAAAGUGAACAGAAAAAUCUAAAAAUAUUAUGAUGCUUUGUUCUUUGUAUUUGAUUUGAAAGCUUGUUUGUGGAGCCCAGCAUCAAUAUUAAAGCACUACUAAUAUUAAAGGACAUAAAUAUUAUAUUCAUACAUGAUUUAUACUUCUAAAGCAAGCCAACAAUAUUUGAGGACAAAAUGUCCUGGCAAAAUACAAGGGAAAUCUUGCAUGAGUAUGUAUUCCCAUUAAGGGUUGUGUUCAAAUAGAUUCACAUAGCUCUGUCUUGAUCUAUAAGUCAAACAAAAGAAAAUUGUUCAACUGUUAAGACUUGCAACACAACAGCAUAAUUCAGAAAGUUGUGUUGCAUACAGAACAAGUUACAAGCAAAAGUUUGUAACGAGGAUUAUUACCACCACCAUAUAUUUCACAAAUUUUUUCCUGAUAAAGAAGGAAAAAAAUCAUAUUAAUUAUAUAAGAAAUGAUGACUGAAGCCUGUAGAAACGGAUAUGUACUCAUAAUGCAAAUUAAGUCAUAAAAAAGAAAAUAAAUAAGAAUUGAGCCAAGGACAAUUUUCUUGCUUGCUUCUUAUAGAGUCCCUAAUUAUAACCAAUACAUCUCAUUGUAUUCAACCAGUACAAGAUUUCCAAUAAAAGCACCAAUUGAGGCUCAGACUAAGUUUCAUCGCAACUAUAAAUUUAUUACUAGCUAUAGCUUGUUUCAAGGCAAACAAUAAAAUCUUGCACUUUACAUGUCAUAUAAUGCAUUAAAUACCAACAUGCAACAUAGAAAUAAAUAGUUGAUAUUAUAUAUGGAUAGAUAACACACCUUAUCUUUAUCAUUUUGCCAGAGUUUUGCCUAUGUUUUCUCUUUUUCUUGUAGACUGAAUGAUCAUCAGAAGCUUCAAUGGUUCCCAAAAUCUGAAAUUUUAUUCCAUAAGUAGUGAUUUAAUACAUAUUAGAGAUAUAUAUAUAUAUUAAUUACUUCAAGUAUUUAAUACCUAAGAAUAUAGUCUGUUAUAGUCUUAUUGAACUAACUGAUAUCCUAUGAAUAAUAAGGAGAGUAACUUGAAAUAACUGAUACCAUAAAGGCAUCAACGAAUUAGAGUUAUAAGAAGAGAGGAAGAAACAUACCUUUGACCUUAUCCAUUGAGAAAGUAGAUAUUUUAGAAUAUUAAUUUCCUCUUCAACAUUCUUCCUUAGAAGAUUUUCUUUCUGAAGCAUUUUUUUGAGUUCAACAACUUCCUCUAGAGCAGACAAAUUAUGUGAAACAAACUUCCAGAGACAAAUUACAACAUAAUUUAAAAUGUUAGUUGAAUUGGAGAGUGAAAGAAGAGACCAGAUAUGUCAUGAAAAUCAGAAGCCUAAGUGAUAAUUUAAGACAAGCCACACAUCCAUUUCUAAAUAGAUCUGCUACAGUUAUCUAUUAUUCCAUAUAUUAUGUUUAAGAGGUUAUAAUAAAGCAACAUAUUCAUCACUAUAUAAGCCAAUUUUUUAAUGACUGAGAUAUUGAGAUGAUCAAAAGCAAUAGUGAAUACUUUAUAUUUAAUAAAUUCCCACCAUUUAUUUUAGUGUUUGUUUUUGUUCUAGUUGAAUUAGACAUGUAUAAUUAUUACAUCCUUAGAGACAUCAGUGUGCCAAACACGCUUUAUGGUGAAUCAGAGUACAGAAUAAGCAAAAUGUGUAGUUUGAUUUGAUGCUUUAUUUUUCAAACUUCUGUGAUGAUAAUAGAGGUAUCAUUCAGAAACAAUUAUAUAGGAAGCUCUUUUUCUCAUCUGAUAUAAUUACCUCUUUGUUAGAUGUCACAUCAGUGCCAUUAUCUUUCGCUCCAUUUGCGAUUUUGUCACUGCCAUGGUUUCACUGAUUCAUCAUCAAUUGCUCUUCAAGCUUCUUUAUGGAUUCUAUGUAAUCUUUCUAAUACUUUAAUCUUUCCUUCUACAAAUACAAAAAAUGAGGAUUACAACAAUUAAAAUAACUAUAGGCACUUAUCAGAUCAGAAGUUCAUGUAUUAAAAAAAAACAAGGAGACCUGAGCUACUUUUCUUGCCUAUAAAAAAAUAAUAAAAUGAAAAGCUGUUAAGACCAAUUAGCUUUUAAGAAAAUUUAACACAUGAAGGAACACACUUGAAGAGACAAAUAAACAUGCCAAAAUUUUCAAAGGAACAUGAUGCUUUUGGAUAAUAUUAACACAAAUAUUUACUUCCAAGGCUUCUGCAUAAUUCCUUCCAGUCUCAAAAAUCUGAUUUUUUGCCUUUGAUUAUUCUCUCAAUUUCAUCCUUUAAUUCUUUCUGCUACCUUUCAUGUUCCAUAAUAAGUUUAUCUAAUUGUAUAUCUAGCCUUCUGGAUAAAUAUUUGUAAUCAAAUUCCUUCUUAAGUUGGUAUAAACUGUGGAAAAAAAACUGCCUCACUUUAAAGCAUAUGCCUCAUUGUUGCUAAAUGUUGCUAACAAUUGGUAUAAAUGUUGCUAAAUGUAACUUGUUCCUAUGAAUAAAGGCUAGUCAACAAAGCGAACAAUAAGAAAAGACUCAUUUUGUAAUAAGAAAUUCAAACACUCAUACCUAACUUAUCAAUAAGCUCUGAACCAGCUAGAUCGAUUACAACUAACUUGCCCUUCCGAACUAAAGGAGCCUUUAGAGUUUUACUUAUGUGGGAGAUGUUACCAUUUUCUUUCAAAAGAGUUGAAUCUCUUCCUUUCACAUGCCUCUUCACAUUUACCUGUAGCAGUUUAUGUGAUUGUUAAUGCUCCACCUUAAACAAUUUAAAACUUUUAAAAUUCGGAACCAUUGAAGUACCAAGAAUUACACAUUAAGUAUUACCAUCAAAAUAGCAUGACUACGAGAAGAUUUUGUGUUCAAUUUUGUUUUUGUAGCAAAACAGUGAGCCUCUCCAAGUCAUAAUAGUUCCACAAAACUCAUAUGGUCCCAAAUUUCAAUUAUUGUAGCCCCUGGUAGAGAAACAUCUCCAGUUUUGGGGUCUUCCACUAUGGAAAUGUUAUCAUUUGCAAGAUCAAGAAGGUCCUGUAUAGUUUCCAUAUAAUGAUGCAAGCAUAAAUGGAAAGAAAAAAAACUAGGAUCAUUUGGAAAAUAUUGCAAAUUAAUCAAAGCACAAAACAAGUUUGAUUGUUUAUGAAAUCAAAUAUCUGACAAGGAAUAUACAUAAGAUUAUGACUAUGUAUAAAAAAAAUAAAAGAAUUUAUCCCAAAAUAUAACAACCUACAAAUAUGAAACUGACACAGAAUCAAUCUCUAGAGAAAUAUCUGCUAAAAUGUCCUCCAUUGCGCGCACCAUUAUACCACGAGCAGUUGUGCCUUCUUCUCCAAGUCUUCCAAGAGUAUAUGUUUUACUUGUACCAGUCUGCCUAUAUGCCAUGACUGUCCCAUUAUAACCAUCUAGGACACUCUGGGAAAAGAGAAUUACAAAGUUCCAUGUUACUUAAUGAAAUAUCUACAAAAAUAUAGUUUGUAUUAUAAAAGUGCUAUGCAUAAGUACAACACUAAUAAUGAAAGAAAAUUUGAUGUAGAUGCACCUCCACAACACGUUUUUCCACAACUUCAUAAACACGUUUUUGUGAUGCAAACUCAGUUAGCACCUCAUCAAACUCGAAUGUAUCAGAGUCUUAAGCGAACAUAGAGACAUAUAUCAUUGGCUGACCUUUUGAAACCAAUUUUAGACAUCACUUCAUCAAAUCUUUUGUACCAUUGCCUUGGUGGUUGUUUAAGGCCAUACAAGGACCUCUUAAGCGAACACACCAAAUUUUCCAACUUAGAUUCAACUUUGAAUCCUUCGGGUUGCUCCUUUAAAAUAGUCUCUUCCAACUUGCCAUUCAAGAAGGCUAUUUUAACAUUCAUUUGUUCUACCUCCCAAUCGAUUUUCACAGCUAAAGCAAGCAUCAUUCUUAUAGUUUUAAGCUUGAUAACAGGUGAAAAAAUUUAUGAAUAGUCAAUUCCCACAGAUUGUGAGUAACCCUUGGCCACUAACCUUGCCUUAUACCUUAUAGGAUCUGUAGGAUUUAUGCCUGGUUUCAGCUUAUAAAUCACCUCAGUAAGACAAGUAGCUGAAUUGUUUACUAUUCUUUUUUAAUGCUUUAUUUCAGUUAUAAUUUUUUGGUGUUGGGCUCUUAUCCAUGAUGCAUUUUGUUUGGUUCUCAACUGUGAUGAUAUUUUUUAUGGACUUUUUGAGAAACUGGAAGUCUUGUUUUUUCUUUUCUUUCUAAAAUGGGAAUGCUCUGUUUGGACUGUUUAUGAUGUUGUGCUCUUUUCUUUCUAAACUAGAAGUCUUGUUUUUUAUGGACUGUUUAUGAUGCUCUGUCAAGUACACCCCAAAAGGAAUGGUGUUUGGUCCUUUGAAAGCUUCACAGCAAGAAAGGAACAAUUCCUGAAGAGCAGCCACGGGAACCUUUGGGCAGUAAUUUGGGGUCUUCAUCAUAUGCCUCUUCACACGCCCAUUUUUCCUCUUCACAAUCCUCUUUUUCACAUACCCAACUCUGCUCAUGUGCCUCACCAUAGGCCUAACCUCACCCCUCCCUUGCUCAAAAUCCAUGCUUUUUUUGGUCAAUUUAGGACAAACCCAGAUGAGAUUUGAUGAAGAAUUUUUUUGGGUAUUUGGUAAAAGAAAGAAAGAAUGAGUAUUUUUUUUGGUUUGGAUUGGAAGUAACAGUGUUGGAGGAAGGUGGGGAAUGAGAGAUGACAUAUUUAUAAAUAUUGUGUUUGCUCAAAGGGAAUGAGGCAAAACCAGGGGCCAUUUAGAGUAGGAAAUGAGCAACUAUUUAAGAAAAAGAAAUUAAAAAAAAAGUAUUUUAUUUUUUGUUUGAGAUAUAUUUAAAAAAAAAAAGAUAUAUAUAUAUAUAUAUAUAUACUAGAACAGCCACAAGAAUCCUUUUGACUCUUCCUUUAUCAUCAUCAUCACAAUCAUUUUUUAUCUUGUGAGCUGGAGGAACUUUGUUCAAACCAUGUUUUGUAGUGUGGGGAAUCAAAUGGAGAUAAUGCACAGGAACUGGAGUAGGACUAAGCACCGGAGCAGGAGCUGGAACCUCAACUUCACCAACGAGUGAUGGAGAUGGGGCUGGAGACAAAUAUCCAUAGUCACCAUUUGAUGUCCUUCUCACGUGGAAGCUUCUUAGCCUAAGUAAAACCUUGAACUUUUCCACUAAAGAACUUUUAGGCUCUUCAUCAUUCUCACCCUUUCCUAGAAGAAGAGCAACAAAAUAUGAAGCUCAAAAUGACUGAAAUGAUGAAUCUACUUAAAGAACACUUGGUGGUUGGUGGUAAAGCGACACCAAGCAGAGGACAGUCUCGCAAUGUACCUCAGUCAAACAAUAUUCAUUCCCCUAAGAAGUGACAAGCAAAAUAGAAAAUGAUACUUAAUUUUGAAGGCUUUGUGUUGGGCAGCUGUAGAAUAUUUUGUGCUGAAAGUAGUAACUUUUCAAUAUGUUGAAUAUUUAAGACUACUUGAAUACUUAAAGAACAUUUUGUUGUUGAUGACAGUGUUGAAUAUUUUAAACUAAUUUGUGGAUUGUUAAUACAAUGUUGAAUGUUUUUACUUUUUAUUAUUUGAAAAUCAAGUUCAUUUGA
RNA transcript from Humulus lupulus (European hop), 7579 nucleotides. It is a transcript of the gene named tryptophan decarboxylase 2-like, with no coding region annotated. Lineage: Eukaryota; Viridiplantae; Streptophyta; Magnoliopsida; Rosales; Cannabaceae. The transcript is spliced from 8 exons. The record is from RefSeq and is a predicted model, not a curated record.